GAUGAACGCUGGCGGCGUGCCUAAUACAUGCAAGUCGAGCGAACGGACGAGAAGCUUGCUUCUCUGAUGUUAGCGGCGGACGGGUGAGUAACACGUGGAUAACCUACCUAUAAGACUGGGAUAACUUCGGGAAACCGGAUCUAAUACCGGAUGAUAUUUUGAACCGCAUUGUUCAAAAGUGAAUGACGGUCUUGCUGUCACUUAUAGCUGGUUCCGCGCUGCAUUAGCUAGUUGGUAAGGUAACGGCUUACCAAGGCAACGAUGCAUAGCCGACCUGAGAGGGUGAUCGGCCACACUGGAACUGAGACACGGUCCAGACUCCUACGGGAGGCAGCAGUAGGGAAUCUUCCGCAAAGGGCGAAAGCCUGACGGAGCAACGCCGCGUGAGUGAUGAAGGUCUUCGGAUCGUAAAACUCUGUUAUUAGGGAAGAACAUAUGUGUAAGUAACUGUGCACAUCUUGACGGUACCUAAUCAGAAAGCCACGGCUAACUACGUG
This 497-nucleotide ribosomal RNA is filed under the name uncultured bacterium. RNAcentral describes it as "partial 16S ribosomal RNA". It matches the Rfam family "Bacterial small subunit ribosomal RNA", at positions 28 to 507 of the family's 1533-position model. The record is from RNAcentral.